GCCUCUGGCUCCCGACGGCUCCAGGAAAGGGCAGCGCAGUGGGUCUCAGGGACUGGGCGGACGCUCCGUCACGAAAAGGCAGCUGGACAGCAGGGUGUUCGGACUCUGGGAGCCGGAGCCCCCUCGCGAGGAAAUUAUGGUUCAGACCAUCCAGCGACUCCCUUCCACCCUCCAAAGACCAGAGCAAUUCUCAGAAUCAUCACCCUGUGGAAAAGCAGCCCCGGUGGAAAAUAAUAAAAAGUAUAACAGUUAA
Molecule: long non-coding RNA, 253 nt
Organism: Aethalodelphis obliquidens (Pacific white-sided dolphin)
Lineage: Eukaryota; Metazoa; Chordata; Mammalia; Artiodactyla; Delphinidae
Exons: 2
Source: RefSeq, a predicted model, not a curated record